RNAcentral lists this ribosomal RNA (31 nucleotides) under Paraophiobolus plantaginis. RNAcentral describes it as "partial 28S ribosomal RNA". Lineage: Eukaryota; Fungi; Ascomycota; Dothideomycetes; Pleosporales; Phaeosphaeriaceae. The record is from RNAcentral.
UUGACCUCGGAUCAAGUAGGGAUACCCGCUG